AUCACCUACGGGAGGCAGCAGUGGGGGAUAUUGCACAAUGGGGGAAACCCUGAUGCAGCGACGCCGCGUGGGCGAAGAAGUAUUUCGGUAUGUAAAGCCCUAUCAGCAGGGAAGAGGAAAUGACGGUACCUGAGUAAGAAGCACCGGCUAAAUACGUGCCAGCAGCCGCGGUAAUACGUAGGGGGCAAGCGUUAUCCGGAUUUACUGGGUGUAAAGGGAGCGUAGACGGCAUGGCAAGUCAGAUGUGAAAGCCCGGGGCUCAACCCCGGGACUGCAUUUGAAACUGUCAGGCUGGAGUGCAGGAG
RNAcentral lists this ribosomal RNA (305 nucleotides) under uncultured bacterium. Its description in RNAcentral is "bacterial SSU rRNA". It matches the Rfam family "Bacterial small subunit ribosomal RNA", at positions 334 to 654 of the family's 1533-position model. The record is from RNAcentral.